GGAGGCGUCCGUGUUCCUGGUGGGCACCCCGGUCUUCAAAACCGGUGAGACCGAGUAUCUCGGUCUGGCGGGUUCGAUUCCCGUCCGCCUCCGCCA
Molecule: transfer RNA, 96 nt
Filed under: Kocuria sp.
Lineage: Bacteria; Bacillati; Actinomycetota; Actinomycetes; Micrococcales; Micrococcaceae
Description: tRNA-Sec
Rfam family: Selenocysteine transfer RNA
Source: RNAcentral